Molecule: ribosomal RNA, 672 nt
Filed under: Pseudomonas aeruginosa
Lineage: Bacteria; Pseudomonadati; Pseudomonadota; Gammaproteobacteria; Pseudomonadales; Pseudomonadaceae
Description: bacterial SSU rRNA
Rfam family: Bacterial small subunit ribosomal RNA
Source: RNAcentral
GGCAGGCUACACAUGCAGUCGAGCGGAUGAAGGGAGCUUGCUCCUGGAUUCAGCGGCGGACGGGUGAGUAAUGCCUAGGAAUCUGCCUGGUAGUGGGGGAUAACGUCCGGAAACGGGCGCUAAUACCGCAUACGUCCUGAGGGAGAAAGUGGGGGAUCUUCGGACCUCACGCUAUCAGAUGAGCCUAGGUCGGAUUAGCUAGUUGGUGGGGUAAAGGCCUACCAAGGCGACGAUCCGUAACUGGUCUGAGAGGAUGAUCAGUCACACUGGAACUGAGACACGGUCCAGACUCCUACGGGAGGCAGCAGUGGGGAAUAUUGGACAAUGGGCGAAAGCCUGAUCCAGCCAUGCCGCGUGUGUGAAGAAGGUCUUCGGAUUGUAAAGCACUUUAAGUUGGGAGGAAGGGCAGUAAGUUAAUACCUUGCUGUUUUGACGUUACCAACAGAAUAAGCACCGGCUAACUUCGUGCCAGCAGCCGCGGUAAUACGAAGGGUGCAAGCGUUAAUCGGAAUUACUGGGCGUAAAGCGCGCGUAGGUGGUUCAGCAAGUUGGAUGUGAAAUCCCCGGGCUCAACCUGGGAACUGCAUCCAAAACUACUGAGCUAGAGUACGGUAGAGGGUGGUGGAAUUUCCUGUGUAGCGGUGAAAGGCGGAGAAAAAGGAAGGAACACCA